This 255-nucleotide unclassified non-coding RNA is filed under the name uncultured Ascomycota. RNAcentral describes it as "sequence contains ITS2". The stretch from base 1 to 52 matches the Rfam family "5.8S ribosomal RNA", at positions 103 to 154 of the family's 154-position model. Lineage: Eukaryota; Fungi; Ascomycota. The record is from RNAcentral.
AACGCACAUUGCGCCUCCGGGUAUUCCUGGAGGCAUGCCUGUUCGAGCGUCGUUAAAGACCAUGAGGCUUUGCCUUGCGAUGAGCCUCCGAUUUAUUUUAUAGAUUGGUAGCUUCAAACUGAUUGGCAUCUGAAGUUUUAGCCCAAGCACAGCAAAAUGUGUCUUGUAAGCUGACUGCAAGAUUGCCUGUUCACCAUGUAUGCACAUACACAAAAGGUCGACCUCGGAUCAAGCAAGAUUACCCGCUGAACUUAA